Molecule: long non-coding RNA, 1301 nt
Filed under: Vigna radiata
Lineage: Eukaryota; Viridiplantae; Streptophyta; Magnoliopsida; Fabales; Fabaceae
Description: long non-coding RNA (VRAD_LNC006809)
Source: RNAcentral
AAAACACAAAACACAUUCACUCAUUCACUGUUGUUUCACGAGAACACUAUUUUUUUCCAUUGCCAUGUGAUUUUGCAGUGUCUUGGGCAUAGUUAUCCGGCCUUUGCAGUAUGAGAAAUUUUCAGGCCAUUGCAGCACAGUGUACGUAGCUGGUAAAUAGCUGGGGAGAUUCCCUGGCCAGAUUCCCUGGUUGACACAACCAUUCGCUGCAAAGCAAGGAGAGAAUCCUGCUGUUUGAAUUUCAAAAAGAAGCUUUGCGAAAAACCAUUAACGUAUAAGUUUGGUGUGUGUAUUAAAAGCUAUGUUUGUGUGUUUAAAUAGAGUGAAUGAAGUUUGAGAGUUCACGAGCUUUGGCAACAGUUGUCUGUGUGUGGUGAAGAUCAGCAGGUGUGGAGAGUAGGAGCUCUGGAGAUCUGCUGAGGUAUGUUUCUCGCACACACAUUAUCCUUGUUUUUUGCAGGUGGAAGACGUGUGGUUAUGGAGAGGGGAUGAUGAAGAAGAAGGAGGCGGAUGACGACGGCGGAUGAAGAAGACGAAGGUUGAAGAUGAAGAUGGCGUGCACAUGUAUUCGAAUCCAAAGAAAGCGUAUCCGGAUGGAGGUUUUUCUCAGAUUUCGGACAGGUAUUCGGAUACACUUUUGUUGUAUCCAGAUCCAGCUUUUUGCAGAAUUUGUAAAGGAAGAGUAUCUGGAUAAACCUUGUGCGUAUCCGGUUCCAGCCAUUCUUUGCAUGGCAGGUUGUUUGCAGUUCUUUGCAUGGCAGCCAUGGGUUCUUUCCGGUAGCAGUCACCGGUUGGCCAGAGCUUCCUUCCUUGGUCCGUCGCCACAGCUAGCUAGGUGAAGUGUGUUUAGGCUCAUGCAUGGGUGAUGCUACCAAUCAUCUUCUUCGCUUGGCAUGGACGGAGAUGACAGAGAUCUGGCAUGGAGAACAACACGAAGGUGUGUGCGGUGGAGGACAGGUUGAUCUUGAUGGAGAUGGAGAGGAGGAGGACGACAGUUGUGUGGAGGUUUAAGGGCAAGGAUUUCUGGAAACGGCCGAGAGUAACAGCAAGUUGAACGAUUUGGUUUUAUUUUGUUAUUGUGCCUAACCAUUUGUAUGUGUUGCAGGUUUUUAUAAGCAUAAUUAAGGUGCAUCUACUCAGCUAGAAGUAUUUGGUAAGCUAGGAAGGAUGUUAGUCAUCCAGACGUGCACUAAACAUAGUGAUAUCUUUGUCCACUUUCAAUGGUUGAAAAAUGUUUGACAUGAACUGCUUGUUGUUGUUGUCUGAGGCGUUGAAGGUGUUUUCGUUCAUGCUUUCCGUCG